This 429-nucleotide ribosomal RNA is filed under the name Gemmatimonadota bacterium. Its description in RNAcentral is "Gemmatimonadetes bacterium partial 16S ribosomal RNA". It matches the Rfam family "Bacterial small subunit ribosomal RNA", at positions 355 to 776 of the family's 1533-position model. The record is from RNAcentral. Lineage: Bacteria; Pseudomonadati; Gemmatimonadota.
UAGGGAAUCUUCGGCAAUGGACGAAAGUCUGACCGAGCAACGCCGCGUGAGUGAAGAAGGUUUUCGGAUCGUAAAACUCUGUUGUUAGAGAAGAACAAGGACGUUAGUAACUGAACGUCCCCUGACGGUAUCUAACCAGAAAGCCACGGCUAACUACGUGCCAGCAGCCGCGGUAAUACGUAGGUGGCAAGCGUUGUCCGGAUUUAUUGGGCGUAAAGCGAGCGCAGGCGGUUUCUUAAGUCUGAUGUGAAAGCCCCCGGCUCAACCGGGGAGGGUAAUUGGAAACUGGGAGACUUGAGUGCAGAAGAGGAGAGUGGAAAUCCAUGUGUAGCGGUGAAAUGCGUAGAUAUAUGGAGGAAAACCAGUGGCGAAGGCGGAUCUCUGGUCUGUAACUGACGCUGAGGCUCGAAAGCGUGGGGAGCAAACAGG